This 500-nucleotide ribosomal RNA is filed under the name uncultured bacterium. Its description in RNAcentral is "partial 16S ribosomal RNA". It matches the Rfam family "Bacterial small subunit ribosomal RNA", at positions 30 to 523 of the family's 1533-position model. The record is from RNAcentral.
AUUGAACGCUGGCGGAAUGCUUUACACAUGCAAGUCGAACGGCAGCACGGACUUCGGUCUGGUGGCGAGUGGCGAACGGGUGAGUAAUGUAUCGGAACGUGCCCAGUCGUGGGGGAUAACGUAGUGAAAAUUACGCUAAUACCGCAUACGAUCUAUGGAUGAAAGCGGGGGAUCGCAAGACCUCGCGCGAUUGGAGCGGCCGAUAUCAGAUUAGGUAGUUGGUGGGGUAAAGGCCCACCAAGCCAACGAUCUGUAGCUGGUCUGAGAGGACGACAGGCCACACUGGAACUGAGACACGGUCCAGACUCCGACGGGAGGCAGCAGUGGGGAAUUUUGGACAAUGGGCGAAAGCCUGAUCCAGCCAUUCCGCGUGCAGGAUGAAGGCCCUCGGGUUGUAAACUGCUUUUGUACAGAACGAAAAGGUUUCUACUAAUACUAGGAGCUCAUGACGGUACUGUAAGAAUAAGCACCGGCUAACUACGUGCCAGCCGCCGCAGUAA